GAUCCCUAGCUGGUCUGAGAGGAUGAUCAGCCACACUGGAACUGAGACACGGUCCAGACUCCUACGGGAGGCAGCAGUGGGGAAUAUUGCACAAUGGGCGCAAGCCUGAUGCAGCCAUGCCGCGUGUGUGAAGAAGGCCUUCGGGUUGUAAAGCACUUUCAGUCGUGAGGAAGGUGGUGUAGUUAAUAGCUGCAUCAUUUGACGUUAGCGACAGAAGAAGCACCGGCUAACUCCGUGCCAGCAGCCGCGGUAAUACGGAGGGUGCGAGCGUUAAUCGGAAUUACUGGGCGUAAAGCGCAUGCAGGUGGUUUGUUAAGUCAGAUG
Molecule: ribosomal RNA, 324 nt
Filed under: Vibrio alginolyticus
Lineage: Bacteria; Pseudomonadati; Pseudomonadota; Gammaproteobacteria; Vibrionales; Vibrionaceae
Description: bacterial SSU rRNA
Rfam family: Bacterial small subunit ribosomal RNA
Source: RNAcentral